Schistosoma mansoni is the source of this 48-nucleotide non-coding RNA. The record is from Rfam. Lineage: Eukaryota; Metazoa; Platyhelminthes; Trematoda; Strigeidida; Schistosomatidae.
AUCCAGCUGAUGAGUCCUAAAUAGAAUGAAACGCGCGUUCAACUGGAU